AACCCUAGCAGCUUCAUUUCUCUCCUCUCCCUUCUCUUCUCCCAUCUGUGCCGCUACAACUCUCUCUUCUCUCUAAUCCGCCAUGGAUCUCUUUGAUCCUUCUUUUCAUUUUCACCACCGGUAAAGGUGGUGGCUUUCCAAAGCCAAACUAAUGGCUUUUGGAAAGCCACCAAACUUCCUUUCAAAUGAACCUUUCUCUCCUCUUUAAAAGGGAGUCUUCUUCCUCAGCCAAAAUGACAGUAUGCAUACAAAUCUUCUAUCUCCCUAAAAGUUCUGAGUGAACGGCAUCUUUUAGGUCUUUGUGAUUGAUCUCAGUGAUUUGUUGGUGACGUUUGUUUGGUGGAGUAACCGUGGGUGAGAUCUGUGGUGAUCGACGUCUCUGUGACCUUGCUUGGUGCAAUAUCUGUUGGAUCUGGUUCUAUCUGAGCCUAUUUCUCAAAUCAUAUUUGUUAUAUCUUUUUUGUUAUCAUUUUUUCUGUAUUAUUCUUUUAUUUGGGCUUGUAACUAUAAAGAGUUUCGUACUCUAUAUUCACCUGUAAUAGUUGGAUAGGUUGGUUGUGAAAGAGAUAUCACUGAGGGAUUUCAACACUACAGUGGUAUCAGAGCCACUACUCUGAUCCUUCAUCCCGUCGUUGGUGGUGAUUCAUGACUAUCGGUGUUCGAAAAGUGAUACAAAAAGUGAGAGAACGGGCAGUGGAUGUCGCGUGUUGUUCCAAAAAAUGAUAGAGGAACAACAAAUCCAGCAACCUCCAGCUGAUCUUCCGGAACCUAACGAUGAGAUCGACGACGGUACAGACGCUGCCGACAGAGAAGCCGA
Non-coding RNA from Sesamum indicum (sesame), 817 nucleotides. NCBI's taxonomy places the organism in Eukaryota, Viridiplantae, Streptophyta, Magnoliopsida, Lamiales, Pedaliaceae. The record is from RefSeq and is a predicted model, not a curated record.